UACAGAUCCAAGAUUGGAAAUGUAUCAUCUUAUAUGACAGAGAUAAAACAUGCAUGAAAAUCAUGCAUCAAAGCCAUGAAAUGGGCUACAAAUACAAUACAAAUACGGUAUUUAAAAGUGUA
Molecule: long non-coding RNA, 122 nt
Organism: Gopherus evgoodei (Goodes thornscrub tortoise)
Lineage: Eukaryota; Metazoa; Chordata; Testudines; Testudinidae
Exons: 3
Source: RefSeq, a predicted model, not a curated record